ACCUUGGUGGUGUAGAGGUAGCACGCGUCCCCUGUAUGGAUAAAACGAGGGUUCGACUCCCGUCUGAGGUU
Non-coding RNA from Parelaphostrongylus tenuis, 71 nucleotides. NCBI's taxonomy places the organism in Eukaryota, Metazoa, Nematoda, Chromadorea, Rhabditida, Metastrongylidae. The record is from the annotation of a GenBank genome assembly.